Molecule: small nuclear RNA, 19 nt
Filed under: Arabidopsis thaliana (thale cress)
Lineage: Eukaryota; Viridiplantae; Streptophyta; Magnoliopsida; Brassicales; Brassicaceae
Description: snRNA_10637
Source: RNAcentral
UUUUGCAUAUCCUGGAAUA